RNAcentral lists this ribosomal RNA (618 nucleotides) under uncultured bacterium. Its description in RNAcentral is "bacterial SSU rRNA". It matches the Rfam family "Bacterial small subunit ribosomal RNA", at positions 876 to 1504 of the family's 1533-position model. The record is from RNAcentral.
GGGAGUACGUCGCAAGAUUAAACUCAAAGGAAUUGACGGGACCCGCACAGCGGUGAUGAUGUGGAUUAAUUCGAUGCAACGCGAAGAACCUUACCUACCCUUGACAUGUCCGGAACUUGCCAGAGAUGGCUUGGUGCCCGAAAGGGAACCGGAACACAGGUGCUGCAUGGCUGUCGUCAGCUCGUGUCGUGAGAUGUUGGGUUAAGUCCCGCAACGAGCGCAACCCUUAUCAUUAGUUGCUACGCAAGGGCACUCUAAUGAGACUGCCGGUGACAAACCGGAGGAAGGUGGGGAUGACGUCAAGUCCUCAUGGCCCUUAUGGGUAGGGCUUCACACGCCAUACAAUGGUCGGUACAGAGGGUUGCCAAGCCGCGAGGUGGAGCCAAUCCCACAAAGCCGAUCGUAGUCCGGAUUGUUCUCUGCAACACGAGAGCAUGAAGUCGGAAUCGCUAGUAAUCGCAGGUCAGCAUACUGCGGUGAAUACGUUCCCGGGUCUUGUACACACCGCCCGUCACACCAUGGGAGUGGGUUGCUCCAGAAGUAGGUAGCCUAACCGCAAGGAGGGCGCUUACCACGGAGUGAUUCAUGACUGGGGUGAGUCGUAACAAGGUAACCGUA